UUUUACGAAGUUUAAUAAUAAUAAAUAGCUUAUUUUCACUAAGCAGAUUGGCUAAUGCCCGUAAAAC
This 67-nucleotide transfer RNA is filed under the name Pedicinus obtusus. RNAcentral's name for it is "tRNA-Glu". Lineage: Eukaryota; Metazoa; Arthropoda; Insecta; Psocodea; Pedicinidae. The record is from RNAcentral.